AAGUUUCAAAAAGAAAGGUGGUUUUAUUACUUAUCGUGGAAACCACUCUCAGCUUUCCAUAUAAAGCAAAAAGAAGAUUAAGCUUCACAGAAAGCUCCGAAAGCUUGCCGUCUUCUCCUUUUUUCUCUCUAUGGUUACUGCAAUAACAGUUAAGCUAAAUACAAGUAAGCUUCUUCUUCUUUAUUUCUUUUGCUUUCUUCCUUCUUAAAAUACUUUCUCUCUCUCUCUCUCUCUCUAUUUCUAUUUUUCUCAUUGAAAAUCGGGGAGAAAUCAACAGUUGA
Molecule: long non-coding RNA, 281 nt
Filed under: Carica papaya (papaya)
Lineage: Eukaryota; Viridiplantae; Streptophyta; Magnoliopsida; Brassicales; Caricaceae
Description: long non-coding RNA (CPAP_LNC015075)
Source: RNAcentral